RNAcentral lists this ribosomal RNA (366 nucleotides) under Triticum aestivum (bread wheat). RNAcentral's name for it is "partial small subunit ribosomal RNA". The record is from RNAcentral. Lineage: Eukaryota; Viridiplantae; Streptophyta; Magnoliopsida; Poales; Poaceae.
AUGGAGGUUUUUGCAGAUUUGGGUUCGCGUGAUCCGCAUUUCACGUACCGAGUGGAAGCAGACAAUGAAGGUCGGAUAAGCACUCUUAUGUGGGCAAAUGGUAGCAGCAGAUUGCAGUACACAUUCUUCAGCGACGUGGUUACCUUCGAUACGACAUACAGGACAAAUAUGUACAACAUGCCCUUUGGCCUGUUUAUAGGUGUGAAUAAUCAUUUCCAGAGCAUCAUCCUAGCUAGGGUUUUGGUGUGUGACAAAAAAGUGGAGACCUUUGAGUGGGUCUUCACAGAGUUUGUUCGGAUGAUGGGCGGAAGUUCACCGAAGACAAUUCUAAUUGGUACGAUCCUGAAUUAUAGUGGAUGCUUUUGA